This 1475-nucleotide long non-coding RNA is filed under the name Pan troglodytes (chimpanzee). RNAcentral describes it as "long non-coding RNA NONPTRT003108". The record is from RNAcentral. Lineage: Eukaryota; Metazoa; Chordata; Mammalia; Primates; Hominidae.
UGUGAAUGUUGGCAGCAAAUGACCGUUCCUUACAGAGGGUUCUCUGUCUCCCCAAGUACCUGAAUGUGGUGACCUGGUGGCAUCAGGACAGUGUGGCUCAGCCCAGGAAGCCGGGGGAGAAGCCGCUGUCACUGAUGCUGUGGUUGCCUUUGGAGGUUGCCCUCACUUCCAGGCCAGCUGACCUUGCCUCCCCUGCUUCAGAGAAGUGCCUGCAAUCCUGAUGGGGAAUGUAGGCAUCUGCACCCUCGAAGUCCAGCUCUGACCUCAGUCCCUUCUGACACGGGACAGACUACGCCCAAGCAAGGUUUGAUGCCUAUUUCCACCAGAAGAGGAAGCUUGGGGUGUGACUGUGGGGAGGACUCCAUCCACCUCAUCACUGGACUGCAUGGGGAGGCAGCAGAGCGGGGUCCCCUCUGUGCUUCGACUACUGCUCCUGUGGCAGGAGGCUUUGGGUGGCUCACUACUGAACACGUGUAUGAUACUAAAGACGGUAUUAAAAUGGAGCGACGUUUAUUUCAUCUCUUGUUUACGAUUUCACUAGGACUCAGAAACGAGAUCGGGAAGCAGAAAUAUAGUGCAAUAGUGCAACAUCUCUGAAUCCUUUUAAUCUAGAGAAGGCAUUUCAUAUUUGGGGGCUAAGGUUUCCAGUCAGAUGAGGCAAACAGCAAGAGUAAGCAGUGUUACUUGCAGGUACUUUGGUUAAUGUUGAUUUAAAUUUUCAUGAAUGUGCUGGUGAACACUGUGACCAGGCUUUUGUAGAUGGCUAUGUGUUAUAGACGGUGCUCACUCCCAAGGGACGGCAAGUGAGCAGAGAUGUACUGCGAAGUCGCCAGUCACUGCUGCAAGGUGGCCUCUGCCUGGGGCCUCCGGAAGCUGCUCCUCUACCCUCUUGGUCCCAUGGCUGAAGCUGGAGCAGCGGAUUGCUCUGGAGCAGCCAAGGCCGCCUGCGUGUGGAGCAGAGCUCUCCCCUCCUGCUGGGCGUGUGUGACACUGAUGAGUUUCACUGUACUGCAUGUGACUUCUCCCCUGCCCUUCCUCCUGAUGGAGUGCAGACAGCCAUGCGUGGCCACGGGGGCAGUGUGAGGACCUCCGUGUCUCCCGGCUCCCCUCCCAGGGGAGCCAGCUGCUUGACCUAGCUCUUUGGGCCUCUCCUGCCCUCUGCUCUGCCUGGAGUGUCGGAUCCUGUGAGUAGGCUGGGCCGCCCCUGGGCAGGGUUCUCCAAGGGCCCGGUUUCCCGGCCCUUACCUUUCCUGAUGCCCCUGACAUCAUCAUUCUUGUGGGAGACAGCAGCCUGUAUGUGGUGUGGGGCGUGGAUCGAGUGUAGCUGUGAAAUCCAUAUAUAUGAAAUGUCCCGCGGGAUACAGUCUUAGCUGACUUUUUUUUACUCUGAACUCUGAAUUGUUUUUUGUGCAUAUAUUUCUGCUACCACAGAGAUUGUACUAUACAAAUAAAAAAAUAAAAACCCAACCUCAAGC